AGCAUAUCAAUAAGCGGAGGAAAAGAAACUAACAAGGAUUCCCCUAGUAACUGCGAGUGAAGCGGGAAAAGCUCAAAUUUAAAAUCUGGCAGUCUUUGGCUGUCCGAGUUGUAAUCUAGAGAAGCGUUAUCCGCGCUGGACCGUGUACAAGUCUCCUGGAAUGGAGCGUCAUAGAGGGUGAGAAUCCCGUCUUUGACACGGACUGCCAGGGCUUUGUGAUGCGCUCUCAAAGAGUCGAGUUGUUUGGGAAUGCAGCUCAAAAUGGGUGGUAAAUUCCAUCUAAAGCUAAAUAUUGGCGAGAGACCGAUAGCGAACAAGUACCGUGAGGGAAAGAUGAAAAGAACUUUGGAAAGAGAGUUAAACAGUACGUGAAAUUGCUGAAAGGGAAACGCUUGAAGUCAGUCGCGUUGUCCAGGGAUCAACCUUGCUUUUGCUUGGUGUACUUUCUGGUUGACGGGUCAGCAUCAAUUUUGACCGUUGGAAAAAGGUCAAGGGAAUGUGGCAUCUUCGGAUGUGUUAUAGCCCUUGGUUGCAUGCAAUGGUUGGGAUUGAGGAACUCAGCACGCCGCAAGGCCGGGUUUUUAACCACGUACGUGCUUAGGAUGCUGGCAUAAUGGCUUUAAUCGACCCGUCUUGAAACACGGACCAAGGAGUCUAACAUGCCUGCGAGUGUUUGGGUGGAAAACCCGAGCGCGCAAUGAAAGUGAAAGUUGAGAUCCCUGUCGUGGGGAGCAUCGACGCCCGGACCAGACCUUUUGUGACGGUUCCGCGGUAGAGCAUGUAUGUUGGGACCCGAAAGAUGGUGAACUAUGCCUGAAUAGGGUGAAGCCAGAGGAAACUCUGGUGGAGGCUCGUAGCGAUUCUGACGUGCAAAUCGAUCGUCAAAUUUGGGUAUAGGGGCGAAAGACUAAUCGAACCAUCUAGUAGCUG
This 930-nucleotide ribosomal RNA is filed under the name Cortinarius sp. PDD 72785. RNAcentral describes it as "LSU rRNA". It matches the Rfam family "Eukaryotic large subunit ribosomal RNA", at positions 37 to 953 of the family's 3401-position model. Lineage: Eukaryota; Fungi; Basidiomycota; Agaricomycetes; Agaricales; Cortinariaceae. The record is from RNAcentral.